This is a long non-coding RNA of Culex quinquefasciatus (southern house mosquito), 115 nucleotides long. RefSeq lists it as uncharacterized. The record is from RefSeq and is a predicted model, not a curated record. NCBI's taxonomy places the organism in Eukaryota, Metazoa, Arthropoda, Insecta, Diptera, Culicidae. The transcript is spliced from 2 exons.
AUUACCCCGCUACCAGACAGUUCUGUGCUUGACGGAGCAUCCCCUAACGACAAACACUCCCAUUUCGAUUCCUUGAAAAAGGCCCAAAACGGGUCGAAACGUCGGAUGAAGAGAA